This 332-nucleotide ribosomal RNA is filed under the name uncultured bacterium. RNAcentral's name for it is "bacterial SSU rRNA". It matches the Rfam family "Bacterial small subunit ribosomal RNA", at positions 568 to 898 of the family's 1533-position model. The record is from RNAcentral.
UGCGUAGGCGGUGCGGUAAGUCUGUUGUGAAAUCUCCGGGCUCAACUCGGAGCCUGCAACGGAAACUGCCGUGCUGGAGUAUGGGAGAGGUGAGUGGAAUUCCCGGUGUAGCGGUGAAAUGCGUAGGUAUCGGGAGGAAGACCUGUGGCGAAAGCGGCUCACUGGACCAUUACUGACGCUGAUGCACGAAAGCUAGGGGAGCAAACAGGAUUAGAUACCCUGGUAGUCCUAGCCCUAAACGAUGAUCGCUUGGUGUGACAGGUACCCAAUCCUGUUGUGCCGGAGCUAACGCGUUAAGCGAUCCGCCUGGGGAGUACGGUCGCAAGGCUGAA